AUGGCCGCAGUAUUUUGACUGUGCAAAGGUAGCAUAAUCAUUAGUUUUUUAAUUAAAAGCUUGUAUGAAAGGCUGGACGAGGUAAAAUCUGUCUCUAUCUAAAUUAUAGUAGAAUUUAACUUUUAAGUUAAAAGGCUUAAAUAUUAUUAAAAGACGAGAAGACCCUAUAGAUCUUUAUAGCUUAUUAAAUUAAAUUAAUUUAGAAAUAUUAAUGUUUUAUUUAACUAAGGUAUUUUAUUGGGGUAAUAAAAAGAUUAAAUAAAUUCUUUUUUAUAAUAAACAUUAAUUUAUGAAUAUUAAUGAUCCAGUUUUACUGAUUAUAAGAUUAAGUUACCUUAGGGAUAACAGCGUAAUUUUUUUAGAGAGUUCAUAUCGAUAAAAAAGUUUGCGACCUCGAUGUUGGAUUAAAGAUUAUUUUAGGUGUAGAAGCUUAAUAAUUUUGGUCUGUUCGACCAUUAAAUCUUUACAUGAUCUGAGUUCAGACCGGCGUAAGCCAGGUCGGUUUCUAUCUUUAAUAAAAUAAAAUAUUUUAGUACGAAAGGACCAAAUAUUUAAUAUAUUUAUAUUUAAUUUAUUGAAUAUUA
Molecule: ribosomal RNA, 584 nt
Filed under: Carabus lusitanicus trabuccarius
Lineage: Eukaryota; Metazoa; Arthropoda; Insecta; Coleoptera; Carabidae
Description: partial large subunit ribosomal RNA
Rfam family: Bacterial large subunit ribosomal RNA
Source: RNAcentral